UACGUAGGGUGCGAGCGUUGUCCGGAAUUAUUGGGCGUAAAGAGCUUGUAGGCGGUUUGUCGCGUCUGCUGUGAAAAUCCGGGGCUCAACCCCGGACUUGCAGUGGGUACGGGCAGACUAGAGUGUGGUAGGGGAGACUGGAAUUCCUGGUGUAGCGGUGAAAUGCGCAGAUAUCAGGAGGAACACCGGUGGCGAAGGCGGGUCUCUGGGCCGA
This 214-nucleotide ribosomal RNA is filed under the name uncultured bacterium. RNAcentral's name for it is "partial 16S ribosomal RNA". It matches the Rfam family "Bacterial small subunit ribosomal RNA", at positions 524 to 737 of the family's 1533-position model. The record is from RNAcentral.